AUUGAACGCUGGCGGCAUGCCUUACACAUGCAAGUCGAACGGCAGCACGGGAGCAAUCCUGGUGGCGAGUGGCGAACGGGUGAGUAAUGUAUCGGAACGUGCCCAGUCGUGGGGGAUAACGCAGCGAAAGCUGUGCUAAUACCGCAUACGAUCUAUGGAUGAAAGCGGGGGAUCGCAAGACCUCGCGCGAUUGGAGCGGACGAUAUCAGAUUAGGUAGUUGGUGGGGUAAAGGCCCACCAAGCCGACGAUCUGUAGCUGGUCUGAGAGGACGACCAGCCACACUGGAACUGAGACACGGUCCAGACUCCUACGGGAGGCAGCAGUGGGGAAUUUUGGACAAUGGGCGCAAGCCUGAUCCAGCAAUGCCGCGUGCAGGAUGGAGGCCUUCGGGUUGUAAACUGCUUUUGUACGGAACGAAACGGUUCUCUCUAAUACAGGGGGCUAAUGACGGUACCGUAAGAAUAAGCACCGGCUAACUACGUGCCAGCAGCCGCCGUAA
Molecule: ribosomal RNA, 500 nt
Filed under: uncultured bacterium
Lineage: Bacteria
Description: partial 16S ribosomal RNA
Rfam family: Bacterial small subunit ribosomal RNA
Source: RNAcentral